Molecule: ribosomal RNA, 252 nt
Filed under: uncultured bacterium
Lineage: Bacteria
Description: partial 16S ribosomal RNA
Rfam family: Bacterial small subunit ribosomal RNA
Source: RNAcentral
UACUCCGCCGGCGACCGGCGCACGGGUGCGUAACGCGUAUGCAACCUACCUUUAACAGGGGCAUAACACUGAGAAAUCGGUACUAAUUCCCCAUAACAUUCGAGAAGGCAUCUUCUUGGGUUAAAAACUCCGGUGGUUAAAGAUGGGCAUGCGUUGUAUUAGCUAGUUGGUGAGGUAACGGCUCACCAAGGCAACGAUACAUAGGGGGACUGAGAGGUUAACCCCCCACAUUGGUACUGAGACACGGACCAA